This 154-nucleotide small RNA is filed under the name Marmota monax (woodchuck). The record is from RNAcentral. Lineage: Eukaryota; Metazoa; Chordata; Mammalia; Rodentia; Sciuridae.
UGCAGAACAUAGUGAGUAAAAAAUAUUACUGAAUGUACACUUUAUUAUUUAGUUUUAUUUAUUUAUGUAUUAUUAUUAUUUGUGUGUGUGUGUAUGUGUGUGUGUGUGUGGCACUGGAGAUUAAACUCAAGGGCACUCGACCACCGAGCUGCAU